This is an RNA transcript of Carya illinoinensis, 2979 nucleotides long. RefSeq lists it as uncharacterized. Lineage: Eukaryota; Viridiplantae; Streptophyta; Magnoliopsida; Fagales; Juglandaceae. The record is from RefSeq and is a predicted model, not a curated record. The transcript is spliced from 5 exons.
ACCCGACUGUACUCAGCACCCCUCCCCCCAAAAAUUGCAUUCACGACAUUUAUAGGCCAGACGGAGCGGCAGAUUAUUCUCCACAUGGAAAGUGAAAGACGGAGGUGGAGAGAAAUAGACAGAAUAUGAAUUCCCCGACGUUUCAGCAAUUUGUUUCGGAAUUCCCAAUAGAUCCUCAUCCGUUUCAGUCCUUACCAGUUAUAUAUUUUCCAUUUUUGAAACGUAGAUACAGCAUUAUUACAGAAGAAAGUUAGGAAGAAGUAGAGAUAAAGAGAGACAGAGAGAGGGGGGGCUCACGGACCCGAUAACAGGGACAAGUUUCAACUCACGAUCUGUGAGAAUCCCACUGUAGCAAUCACCCAGGAGAGCCCCCACAAUCAUGCCUUCAGGUGGCAAGAAGAAAAGAGCUGCAAAGAAAAAGAAGGGCAGCGAAACCCACACCCCCAAGCUCUCAACCAACGACAUUCAAGGAAAUGACGAUUUGAAAUCCCAAGAUGGGAAAGAAAGUGAUAGUGGAGAGGUUAAUAGCCCUGCAUCUCGGGACCAGGGCAGUGACCAAAAUCAAUUUAACGAGGGAAGCGAGGACUUGGAGGAGAGAGACCCUUCAUCCAUUCAGUCAUUUGUUGCUGAAGACAAGUCUAUGGAGGGAUUCCCUAUUAAUGUAGAGGGUGCACAGAAAAUAGGCUUAGAGGAUGAUGGUGCUAUUGAAAUUGAGAGGGAGUUGCAAUCGGAGGAGAACUUUGAGAGCAAAAAUGGUAGCAUUGAGCACCUUGAGUUGGCCAAGGAAUCACAUGAUGGCAAUGAUCAGAGCUCUAGCAGUAGUAGUUCAGAUGAUGAGGCACGAGUCACUAAUGGUAAACCAAAGGAGGCCUACAAUUCAGUUUUGGAAGCAAGUUCAUAUGAUGACUUGGUUAAGCCUGUGGAUUCUUUGCCUGCAGAAGCGAUGUGGGCUACUGAAAAUCCAUCAGUUGGGGAGACUGUUAAUUUAAUUGCCGAAACUGCCCCUUUUAUUGAAUCUGUAAAGACAGUGGCAUCUGUUUCCCAGGAGACAAGUCACAGGACUGAAAGUGCUCCAGUUGAGAAUCCAGUGAUUGCUGAUGUUGUUGAAUCAGGACCAAAAGAAAACCCUCUCGUUGAGUCUCCUAAUCUGGUGGUUUCUGUGUCCCAGGAGACAAUUUACAUGACUGAAAGUGCUUCAAUUCAGAAUCAAGUUGUUGCUGAUGUUGUUGAAUCAGGACCAAAAGAAAAUCCUGUUGUUGAAUUUCCUAAUCCAGCAGUAUCUGUGUCCCUGGAGACCAUUCACAUGACUGAAAGUGCUCCAGUUGAGAACCCAGUGAUUGCUGAUGUGGUUGAAUUGGGACCAAAAGAAAACCCUCUUGUCGAAUCUCCUAAUCUGGAAGUGUCUGUGUCCCAUGAGACAAUUCACUUGACUGAAAGUGCUCCGGUUGAGAAUACCAUGGUUGCUGAUGUGGUUGAAUUGGGACCAAAAGAAAACCCUCUUGUCGAAUCUCCUAAUCCAGCUGUAUCUGUGUCCCUGGAGACAAUUCACAUGACUGAAAGUGCUCCAGUUGUGAAUCCAGUGGUUGCUGAUGUGGUUGAAUCAAGAUCAAAUGAAAGUGAUGAAAAGUUGUUGCGUAAAUCAAGUCAGGCUCCAGUAGCUGUGAUGGAUUUGACAGUGAAUAAUAAUGAGGAUGGCAUAUUUCCUUUAUCUGAUGAUCAUGUUCAGGCAUCGUUGACUGUGGUGGAAUCAGUGUCAAAUGGAUAUGAGGGUAAAAUAUCGCCAUCAUCUAGUGUUCCUGUUGCUGCAACUAGUAAUAGUGCAGCACAUGUCAAAGAUUCUGAGAUUCCUGAAUAUUCUGAAAGCCAGCCUCUGGUAGCACCAGCCCCUCAAAUGGUGAAAAGAACCUCCUGGCUGAGUUGCUGUGGAUUGUUUGAGGUUCUAACAGGCACCGGGAGAUAAAUUCAGGGAAUUUAUGGAAGCAUUUAAAAACUACUGAGGCACUUGGAGAGGAGUGAAAAUUUCCUUUCAAGGGAGAGGAAAAGUGAUUUUCAUUUUUCGUUCAAAUAUUUUAUGCCAUGUCAAGGCCUGAUAUGGAGAUCAUCGGUCCCAUUUUCUUGUUUCUUUUAUUCCUACUUAAAAUCUGAUAUUCUCCUUGAAGUUUUCUACUGCUAUUGUCUAGAGAGACUUUUGAGUUGCAUUCAAUAAAGCUGUUACCUUCCACAAGCUUCUCAGUAGCUGUUGGGUAUCAUAAUAAGUUAUGUUUUCUGGCAAGAUUGGUGAGGUGAAUGCCUUAGCAACUCUGGAACAUAUUGCAAAAGUGAUGCAUGUCUGAGAUGGAGGCUUUGUUUGGUUUUAGAAUAAUCAUUGCUGAAUGUCUUAGAGAAUUGCUGUUUCCAAGUCUUAUUUGGUGCUUCUACACCUCGCCCAGAAAAGAAACAGAUGGGUUUCAGUGGAACGGUGAAGCUUGUGAAAGUUCAGAAGGAUUUGGUCUAGAGGAAAUUUUGAUUUGUCCAGCUAGAAAACUGUUCUUGGUUUUUCCCAGUAAAUAACCAGCCAAGAGGUCUGAUCAGAUAAACAGUCUUAGGGUUUGUGAUGAUGGUGUCAAUACUUGUAGGCAGCUUGGUGUCCCUGGCUUUCGGCACACGCCUUGUUACUCUUGUAGUCUAGUGCUUUUUCUAGGUGGUGUGUUGUACUUACAGUUUCUUUUGCAUCAUUGGGUAGGGUGGUGGUGUGAUCUGGCUUUUGCAAGUUCUUAGGUGAUAUCAAUAUUCCUUUGAUUGCUGUCAUGGUGUUAUCUUAUGGAUGGUGUCUACGCUUCGUCUACAACUUUAUAUUUUGCUUUUACAGCAUAUGGGUCUUUUUAUUGCAUGGUUGCUGGCUUUCUUUAAUUGAUUGGGGGUGUUUUUAGGAAUGGAUUUCCUCUUUUGAAAUGUUGAAACUUAAAGAGAGCCAUCAAAUGCCUGAUAUGGUUGGUUUUA